CGAACGGGUGAGUAAUGCGUGACCAACCUGCCCCAUGCUCCAGAAUAGCUCUUGGAAACGGGUGGUAAUGCUGGAUGCUCCAACUUGACGCAUGUCUUGUUGGGAAAGUGUUUAGUGGCAUGGGAUGGGGUCGCGUCCUAUCAGCUUGUAGGCGGGGUAAUGGCCCACCUAGGCUUCGACGGGUAGCCGGCCUGAGAGGGCGGACGGCCACAUUGGGACUGAGAUACGGCCCAGACUCCUACGGGAGGGCAGCAGGG
Molecule: ribosomal RNA, 257 nt
Filed under: uncultured Gardnerella sp.
Lineage: Bacteria; Bacillati; Actinomycetota; Actinomycetes; Bifidobacteriales; Bifidobacteriaceae
Description: partial 16S ribosomal RNA
Rfam family: Bacterial small subunit ribosomal RNA
Source: RNAcentral